RNAcentral lists this unclassified non-coding RNA (195 nucleotides) under plant metagenome. RNAcentral describes it as "partial contains small subunit ribosomal RNA, internal transcribed spacer 1, and 5.8S ribosomal RNA". The record is from RNAcentral.
UCUCCGUUGGUGAACCAGCGGAGGGAUCAUUACCGAUUUUACAACUCCCAAACCCCUGUGAACAUACCAUUUGUUGCCUCGGCGGUGCCUGCUUCGGCAGCCCGACAGAGGACCCAAACCCUUGAUUUUAUACAGUAUCUUCUGAGUAAAUGAUUAAAUAAAUCAAAACUUUCAACAACGGAUCUCUUGGUUCUG